This 417-nucleotide long non-coding RNA is filed under the name Dasypus novemcinctus (nine-banded armadillo). Its description in RNAcentral is "lncRNA (ENSDNOG00000052854.1)". Lineage: Eukaryota; Metazoa; Chordata; Mammalia; Cingulata; Dasypodidae. The record is from RNAcentral.
CAGCAGCGGUGCCUGACGCGGGACAGAGGUUUGGCUGAAAGCUGCUCUGUUGUUGAAGGUCCUUCAGAGUUUGCAGCCGAGUGGCGGGCGGGGACAGCGCGGGGCGGGGGUGGGGGGGGGGGGGUGGCGGACAGGCCCUCGGCCUGCGCCCAGGGCUCGGCCACUUUGCUCGCGGCCUCUGGAGCUCCAGCUGCGCCCGGUCACCGCUGGCCGCUUGCACACACCCUCGCUGGCUCUCACGCUCAGGCCCCGACCACUGCAGGCAGGCCUUGCUGCGGAUUGGGAUCAACAUGAUGGCCCUGCCUGGAGGCCGUCGCCUGGACUCCAUCCCCUUGCCCGGGCAGCGGUAAGUCCUUCAACUGUUUCUCAGGGCCAACCCAGCUUCAUCCAGACUCCAGCUGAGGCUCAGCCCCACAA